RNAcentral lists this ribosomal RNA (783 nucleotides) under Bacillus mojavensis. RNAcentral's name for it is "bacterial SSU rRNA". It matches the Rfam family "Bacterial small subunit ribosomal RNA", at positions 667 to 1451 of the family's 1533-position model. The record is from RNAcentral. Lineage: Bacteria; Bacillati; Bacillota; Bacilli; Caryophanales; Bacillaceae.
UUUCACGUGUAGCGGUGAAAUGCGUAGAGAUGUGGAGGAACACCAGUGGCGAAGGCGACUAUCUGGUCUGAUACUGACGCUGAGGCGCGAAAGCGUGGGGAGCGAACAGGAUUAGAUACCCUGGUAGUCCACGCCGUAAACGAUGUGUGCUAAGUGUUAGAGUCUUUCCGCUCUUUAGUGCGCCAGCAACCGCAUUAAUCACUCCCCUUGGGGAGUCCGGUGCCAAGUUUGAAAUUCAAAGAAAUUGAGGGGGGCCCCCCCAACCGGUGGACCAUGUGUUUAAAUUGGAAGCAACGGGAAGACCUUUCCCAGCUCUUGCCAUCUUAGAACAACCCUAGAGAUAAGGCUUCCCCUUGGGGGGUAGAGUGCCAGGUGGUGCAUGGUGUUGUUCAGUUGGUGUGUUGAGAUGUUGGGUUAAGUCCGGCAACGAGCGCAACCCUGGAUUUUAGUUGCCAGCAUUCAGUUGGGCACUCUAAGGUGACUGCCGGUGACAAACCGGAGGAAGGUGGGGAUGACGUCAAGUCAUCAUGCCCCUUAUGACCAGGGCUACACACGUGCUACAAUGGUCAGAACAAAGGGCAGCCAAGCCGCGAGGUUAAGCCAAUCCCACAAAUCCGUUCUCAGUUCGGAUCGCAGUCUGCAACUCGACUGCGUGAAGCUGGAAUCGCUAGUAAUCGCGGAUCAGCAUGCCGCGGUGAAUACGUUCCCGGGCCUUGUACACACCGCCCGUCACACCACGAGAGUUUGUAACACCCGAAGUCGGUGAGGUAACCUCUGGAGCCA